AACGAACGCUGGCGGCAGGCUUAACACAUGCAAGUCGAGCGCCCCGCCAGGGGAGCGGCAGACGGGUGAGUAACGCGUGGGAACGUACCUUUUGGUUCGGAACAACUCCGGGAAACUGGAGCUAAUACCGGAUAAGCCCUAACGGGGAAAGAUUUAUCGCCGAAAGAUCGGCCCGCGUCUGAUUAGCUAGUUGGUGAGGUAAUGGCUCACCAAGGCGACGAUCAGUAGCUGGUCUGAGAGGAUGAUCAGCCACACUGGGACUGAGACACGGCCCAGACUCCUACGGGAGGCAGCAGUGGGGAAUAUUGGACAAUGGGCGCAAGCCUGAUCCAGCCAUGCCGCGUGAGUGAUGAAGGCCUUAGGGUUGUAAAGCUCUUUUGUCCGGGAAGAUAAUGACUGUACCGGAAGAAUAAGCCCCGGCUAACUUCGUG
This 431-nucleotide ribosomal RNA is filed under the name uncultured bacterium. Its description in RNAcentral is "partial 16S ribosomal RNA". It matches the Rfam family "Bacterial small subunit ribosomal RNA", at positions 29 to 507 of the family's 1533-position model. The record is from RNAcentral.